CCUACGGGAGGCAGCAGUGGGGAAUAUUGGGCAAUGGGCGCAAGUCUGACCCAGCCACGCCGCGUGCAGGAAGAAGGCUUUCGGGUUGUUAACUUCUUUUCGCAGGGACGUAGCAAGUGACGGUAGCUGCGGAAUAAGCCACGGCUAACUACGUGCCAGCAGCCGCGGUAAUACGUAGGUGGCAAGCGUUAUCCGGAUUUACUGGGUGUAAAGGGCGUGUAGGCGGUAAGGCAAGUCAGAGGUGAAAAGCAUGGGCUCAACCUGUGGCCUGCCUUUGAAACUGUUUGUCUUGAGUACUGGUGAGGCAGACGGAAUGUCUGGUGUAGCGGUGAAAUGCGUAGAGAUUAGGAGGAACACCAGUGGCGAAGGCGGUCUGCUAGACAGCAACUGACGCUGAGGCGCGAAAGCGUGGGGAGCAAACAGGAUUAGAUACCCGAGUAGUC
RNAcentral lists this ribosomal RNA (443 nucleotides) under uncultured bacterium. RNAcentral's name for it is "partial 16S ribosomal RNA". It matches the Rfam family "Bacterial small subunit ribosomal RNA", at positions 338 to 795 of the family's 1533-position model. The record is from RNAcentral.